GCCUGGCUGGCUCAGUCGGUAGAGUGUGGGUCUCUUGAUCUCGUGGUUGUGAGUUUGAGCCCCAUGUGGGGUG
RNAcentral lists this transfer RNA (73 nucleotides) under Ailuropoda melanoleuca (giant panda). It matches the Rfam family "tRNA". From Rfam's summary of the family: Transfer RNA (tRNA) molecules are approximately 80 nucleotides in length. Their secondary structure includes four short double-helical elements and three loops (D, anti-codon, and T loops). Lineage: Eukaryota; Metazoa; Chordata; Mammalia; Carnivora; Ursidae. The record is from Rfam by way of RNAcentral.